Molecule: long non-coding RNA, 204 nt
Filed under: Nicotiana benthamiana
Lineage: Eukaryota; Viridiplantae; Streptophyta; Magnoliopsida; Solanales; Solanaceae
Description: long non-coding RNA (NBEN_LNC021950)
Source: RNAcentral
GAACAGCAUGAACUAGUUGGCUCUAGCAGAAAUACAACAGCUACAGGGGUACCUUCUGGGAUCAGUGAGGUUAUGAUUGAUAAAGCCAACAGGAAAUCUACUAUAGUUAUUCUGGAUGCUGGUAGAAGAGGUCAACAUGUGGAUCCAGGACCUUCUUGGAGUAAUGCUUCUCUUACCUCAUGAUUAUUGUUACUUGGAACAUAA